RNAcentral lists this ribosomal RNA (464 nucleotides) under uncultured bacterium. Its description in RNAcentral is "SSU rRNA". It matches the Rfam family "Bacterial small subunit ribosomal RNA", at positions 26 to 518 of the family's 1533-position model. The record is from RNAcentral.
AGGAUUAACGCUGGCGGCGUGCCUAACACAUGCAAGUCGAACGAGGUAGCAAUACCUAGUGGCAGACGGGUGAGUAGCGCGUGGUCAACCUACCGUUGAGUGGGGGAUAACUAGCCGAAAGGUUAGCCAAUACCGCAUACGUCUCCGAGGGGCAUCCCUUGGUGAUAAAAAGGAGCAAUCCGCUCGAUGACGGGACCGCGUCCCAUUAGCUAGUUGGUAGGGUAACGGCCUACCAAGGCAUCGAUGGGUAGCUGGUUUGAGAGAGCGACCAGCCACACUGGGACUGAGAUACGGCCCAGACUCCUACGGGAGGCAGCAGUGAGGAAUUUUCCGCAAUGGGCGAAAGCCUGACGGAGCGACGCCGCGUGUGGGAAGAAGGCCUUCGGGUCGUAAACCGACUGUCGAAGGGAAGAUAAUGACGGUACCCUUGGAGGAAGCCCGGCUAACUACGUGCCAGCAGCCGC